GAUGAACGCUGACAGAAUGCUUAACACAUGCAAGUCAACUUGAACUUCGGUUUGGGUGGCGGACGGGUGAGUAACGCGUAAAGAACUUGCCUCACAGCUAGGGACAACAUUUGGAAACGAAUGCUAAUACCUGAUAUUAUGAUUUUAGGGCAUCCUAGAAUUAUGAAAGCUACAUGCACUGUGAGAGAGCUUUGCGUCCCAUUAGCUAGUUGGAGAGGUAACGGCUCACCAAGGCGAUGAUGGGUAGCCGGCCUGAGAGGGUGAUCGGCCACAAGGGGACUGAGACACGGCCCUUACUCCUACGGGAGGCAGCAGUGGGGAAUAUUGGACAAUGGACCAAGAGUCUGAUCCAGCAAUUCUGUGUGCACGAUGAAGUUUUUCGGAAUGUAAAGUGCUUUCAGUUGGGAAGAAAAAAAUGACGGUACCAACAGAAGAAGUGACGGCUAAAUACGUGCCAGCAGCCGCGGUAAUACGUAUGUCACAAGCGUUAUCCGGAUUUAUUGGGCGUAAAGCGCGUCUAGGUGGUUAUGUAAGUCUGAUGUGAAAAUGCAGGGCUCAACUCUGUAUUGCGUUGGAAACUGUGUAACUAGAGUACUGGAGAGGUAAGCGGAACUACAAGUGUAGAGGUGAAAUUCGUAGAUAUUUGUAGAAAUGCCGAUGGGGAAGCCAGCUUACUGGACAGAUACUGACGCUGAAGCGCGAAAGCGUGGGUAGCAAACAGG
This 722-nucleotide ribosomal RNA is filed under the name uncultured Fusobacterium sp. RNAcentral describes it as "bacterial SSU rRNA". It matches the Rfam family "Bacterial small subunit ribosomal RNA", at positions 28 to 776 of the family's 1533-position model. The record is from RNAcentral. Lineage: Bacteria; Fusobacteriati; Fusobacteriota; Fusobacteriia; Fusobacteriales; Fusobacteriaceae.